AUGCUGGAGGGUGUCCUGCGCACCAGACGAGCCUUCCUGCCCCGCGCAGAUGACGUCGUCCUCGCCACGCAGCCCAAGUGCGGCACCACCUGGCUCAAGGCCCUCGCCUUCACCGUCGCCACGCGGUCCCGCCACGGCCUCGUUGCCGACCACCCGCUCCUCACUUGCUACCCGCAUCACCUCGUGCCGUACAUCGAGAUCCCUGGUGCUGCCGGCGGCCGUGUAGUCAACCUCGGCGCGCUCCCGUCCCCGAGGCUCCUCGCCACGCACAUGCCCAUGUCGCUGCUCCCGCCGGAGACGCGGUCGCUCGGCUGCCGGGUGGUGUACCUGUGCCGGGACCCCAAGGACACGCUCGUCUCCAGGCUGCACUUCGAGAACAAGCUGGCGGCGCGGUGCGGCGGCGUCGGCCCGUCGAUGGACGACGCCUUCGGCAUGUUCUGCGAGGGGUUCUCGCCCUACGGCCCCUUCUGGGACCACUGCCUCGAGUACUGGGAGGAGAGCGUGGCGAGGCCAGACACCAUCCUCUUCCUCAAGUAUGAGGAGAUCAAGCUGGACCCGGCGCGGGUCGUGAGGAGGCUCGCGAGCUUCCUCGGCGUCCCGCUGACCGAGCAGGAGGAGAGCUCCGGCGUCGCGGACAAGGUGGCGAGGAUGUGUAGCUUCGAGUCGCUCACCGGGCUGGAGGUGAAACAGGUCGGCGGCGUCAGCCACGGGAAUAGAGUUCACUUUGAUAACUCUGUGUUCUACAGGAAAGGCGAGGUAGGGGACUGGGUGAACCACAUGAGCCGCGAGAUGGGGGAGAAGCUCGACCGCAUCGUCCAGCAGAAGCUCCAUGGUUCCGGGCUCGUGUUUUGA
RNAcentral lists this ribosomal RNA (852 nucleotides) under Triticum aestivum (bread wheat). RNAcentral describes it as "partial small subunit ribosomal RNA". The record is from RNAcentral. Lineage: Eukaryota; Viridiplantae; Streptophyta; Magnoliopsida; Poales; Poaceae.